Molecule: ribosomal RNA, 407 nt
Filed under: Verrucomicrobiota bacterium
Lineage: Bacteria; Pseudomonadati; Verrucomicrobiota
Description: Verrucomicrobia bacterium partial 16S ribosomal RNA
Rfam family: Bacterial small subunit ribosomal RNA
Source: RNAcentral
UGGGGAAUAUUGGACAAUGGAGGGAACUCUGAUCCAGCAAUUCUGUGUGUGUGAAGAAGGUUUUAGGACUGUAAAACACUUUUAGUAGGGAAGAAAGAAAUGACGGUACCUACAGAAGAAGCGACGGCUAAAUACGUGCCAGCAGCCGCGGUAAUACGUAUGUCGCGAGCGUUAUCCGGAAUUAUUGGGCUUAAAGGGCAUCUAGGCGGUUAAACAAGUUGAAGGUGAAAACCUGUGGCUCAACCAUAGGCUUGCCUACAAAACUGUAUAACUAGAGUACUGGAAAGGUGGGUGGAACUACACGAGUAGAGGUGAAAUUCGUAGAUAUGUGUAGGAAUGCCGAUGAUGAAGAUAACUCACUGGACAGCAACUGACGCUGAAGUGCGAAAGCUAGGGGAGCAAACAGG